This 253-nucleotide ribosomal RNA is filed under the name uncultured bacterium. Its description in RNAcentral is "partial 16S ribosomal RNA". It matches the Rfam family "Bacterial small subunit ribosomal RNA", at positions 524 to 776 of the family's 1533-position model. The record is from RNAcentral.
UACAGGGGGGGCAAGCGUUGUUCGGAAUUACUGGGCGUAAAGGGUUCGUAGGUGGCCACCUAAGUCAGACGUGAAAUCCCUCAGCUUAACUGGGGAACUGCGUCUGAUACUGGGUGGCUUGAGUGCAGGAGAGGAAUGCGGAAUUCCAGGUGUAGCGGUGAAAUGCGUAGAUAUCGAGAGGAACACCUGCGGCGAAGGCGGGUUGCUGGGCCGACACUGACGCUGAUGCGCGAAAGCCAGGGGAGCGAACGGG